CAAUUUAUUCGUUGAUCACAGGUAAAAAAUUAAUACAUCGCAAUUUAUUUAUAGGUCACAAAUUACAAAUAUUAUAGGUCACAACUUAUCAGACAAUCGCAAAUUAUUAAUUUUUUAGGUCACAUUAUUUUUUGUCACAAAUUAUCUUUUAUAUUGGUCACAGAUUAACUAAUUAAAUGAUCACAUUCAACUAAUGAAUCUAUGACCACAACCAAACAACGACUGCCUCUCCACUACAGCACCGGCAAAACCAUAACACCACCACUGCCCACACAACACACCGCCAUCUCCUUUAUCACAAUCUACACAACACCAUAGCCACUACCCCUAGGUACCUACCAAAAAUCCAUAGAAUAGCCUCCACCAUCGCACAUUAAUGCCGCCUACACAUACUGCAAAAACAGCAAGUGGUGCUGUAUUCUCAAUGCAAAAGCCAGGCAAAUAAUGUCCAAAUCUUAGGCAGCCCAUCACAGCACCGCACCGACAGCAUCGUUUGAGCUUAGUGCCGGUAGCAUCGUGUACUGUAAUCUCAACUCAGAAGCCAAUCAAAUGGCAUCCAAAUCUCAGGCGAAUGGUGUCCACCACCUGUACCACCAACCAUUGUCACCACCACCGCACCGUCAACAUCACCACCAUCUCCAUUAUACUACAACCACUACACCCACGAAAAUUUCCCCAAACCAAUUGCN
This 689-nucleotide long non-coding RNA is filed under the name Olea europaea subsp. europaea. The record is from RNAcentral. Lineage: Eukaryota; Viridiplantae; Streptophyta; Magnoliopsida; Lamiales; Oleaceae.